Molecule: ribosomal RNA, 386 nt
Filed under: uncultured bacterium
Lineage: Bacteria
Description: bacterial SSU rRNA
Rfam family: Bacterial small subunit ribosomal RNA
Source: RNAcentral
GACGAACGCUGGCGGCGCGCCUAAUACAUGCAAGUCGAACGGGUCUCCUUCGGGAGGUCAGUGGCGGACGGGUGAGUAACACGUGGGUAACCUGCCCUGAUGAUCGGGACAACCCGGGGAAACCCGGGCUAAUACCGAAUGUGCCCGCAAGCUCCAAGGCUUGCGAGGAAAGGAAGCUUCGGCCUCCGCAUCGGGAUGGGCCCGCGGCCCAUUAGCUUGUUGGUGGGGUGAUGGCCUACCAAGGCGACGACGGGAGCCGGCCUGAGAGGCGACCGGCCACACUGGGACUGAGACACGGCCCAGACUCCUACGGGAGGCAGCAGUGGGGAAUCUUGCGCAAUGGGCGAAAGCCUGACGCAGCGACGCCGCGUGAGGGAUGACGGCCU